UGGGGAAUAUUGGACAAUGGGGGAAACCCUGAUCCAGCAAUGCCGCGUGAGUGAUGAAGGCCUUCGGGUUGUAAAGCUCUUUUAUUAAGGAAGAUAAUGACGGUACUUAAUGAAUAAGCCCCGGCUAACUUCGUGCCAGCAGCCGCGGUAAUACGAAGGGGGCUAGCGUUGUUCGGAAUUACUGGGCGUAAAGAGCGCGCAGGCGGUUUGAUUAGUUAGGUGUGAAAUCCCUGGGCUUAACCUAGGAACUGCACUUAAUACUGUCAAACUAGAGUGUGAUAGGGAGAGACGGAAUGGCGAGUGGAGCAGUGAAAUGCGUUGAUAUUCGUUGGAACACCGGAGGCGAAGGCGGUCUCUUGGAUCAUCACUGACGCUGAGGCGCGAAAGCGUGGGGAGCAAACAGGAUUAGAUACCCCCGUAGUCC
RNAcentral lists this ribosomal RNA (424 nucleotides) under uncultured bacterium. RNAcentral's name for it is "bacterial SSU rRNA". It matches the Rfam family "Bacterial small subunit ribosomal RNA", at positions 355 to 796 of the family's 1533-position model. The record is from RNAcentral.